AUGGAUGUCAAGAUCAACUUGGCGGCCAGGAAUCUGAUCAGCACUAUAACCACACCUACUCAAGGUGCUCCUGCUAUCGCAGAUACGGCAAAGUAUGCUUCUUUGCACUUCAUUCGACACCACCUUGAUCCUGCUCUGAAAGAAGAGUACAUGAUGGAGGAAAGUCCUCUAUCAUUGUGGAACUCCUUAAAGGAGCGUUAUGAUCAACAAAGGUCGGUGAUGUUGCCUGAAGCGCAAAGAGAAUGGGCACUUAUUCGUUUCCAGGAUUUUAAGUCCGUUGCAGCAUACAAUUCUGUCGUGCAUCAAAUCAACUCAAAGUUGAGAUUCUGCAACAGUGCAGUUUCUGAUGCGGAUCUCAUUGAAAAGACACUUUCUACUUUCCAUCCUAAUAUGAGGAUUCUUGCUGAACAACAUCGUCAGCAGAAAUACAAGAAGCAUUCUGAGUGGAUAGGACAAGUGAUGAAGGUCCAGGAGGUAAGCUACACAGCAUUUGCAAAAUAA
Molecule: ribosomal RNA, 501 nt
Filed under: Triticum aestivum (bread wheat)
Lineage: Eukaryota; Viridiplantae; Streptophyta; Magnoliopsida; Poales; Poaceae
Description: partial small subunit ribosomal RNA
Source: RNAcentral